UUGACAUUGAAACAAAAAGUUAUUUUUAAAACACAUGCCUAUAGAUGCCAAAAUGGAGAGACUAAUAAUGUGUGAUGAACAUGUGAUCAGAAUGCAUUCUGGAAAAGGGCUCACAAAUCACUCCUCACUUUAGUGUCCAUAGGUUCAUAACAUACCAUAUACCUCAGAAACCAACAGAGCUAGCAGGGAUAUGCAGACACCCUAAAAGCCAUUGUUAGAUCGGGUCUGUGGAUUACGACUAUUUCUUUAAGCUCAAG
Molecule: long non-coding RNA, 257 nt
Organism: Myotis brandtii (Brandt's bat)
Lineage: Eukaryota; Metazoa; Chordata; Mammalia; Chiroptera; Vespertilionidae
Exons: 3
Source: RefSeq, a predicted model, not a curated record